GAUGAACGCUAGCGGCAGGCCUAACACAUGCAAGUCGAGGGAGGAGCUUUCGGGCUUCGACCGGCGUACGGGUGCGUAACGCGUAUACAAUCUGCCUUUCACAUAGGGAUAGCCCGAAGAAAUUUGGAUUAAUACCUAAUGGUAUAUAGAGGUGGCAUCACCUUUAUAUUAAAGCUGAGGCGGUGAAAGAUGAGUAUGCGUUCUAUUAGCUAGUUGGAGAGGUAACGGCUCCCCAAGGCGACGAUAGAUAGGGGUUCUGAGAGGGAUAUCCCCCACACUGGUACUGAGAUACGGACCAGACUCCUACGGGAGGCAGCAGUGAGGAAUAUUGGACAAUGGUCGGAAGACUGAUCCAGCCAUGCCGCGUGCAGGAAGACGGCCUUAUGGGUUGUAAACUGCUUUUGCAGGGGAAGAAUAAGGACCACGCGUAGUUUGAUGACGGUACUCUGCGAAUAAGCAUCGGCUAACUCCGUG
RNAcentral lists this ribosomal RNA (474 nucleotides) under uncultured bacterium. RNAcentral's name for it is "partial 16S ribosomal RNA". It matches the Rfam family "Bacterial small subunit ribosomal RNA", at positions 28 to 507 of the family's 1533-position model. The record is from RNAcentral.